RNAcentral lists this non-coding RNA (27 nucleotides) under Homo sapiens (human). Lineage: Eukaryota; Metazoa; Chordata; Mammalia; Primates; Hominidae. The record is from RNAcentral.
ACCACAACUUCAAGUUCUUACCUCAUG